RNAcentral lists this transfer RNA (74 nucleotides) under Klebsiella variicola. Its description in RNAcentral is "tRNA-OTHER". It matches the Rfam family "tRNA". From Rfam's summary of the family: Transfer RNA (tRNA) molecules are approximately 80 nucleotides in length. The record is from RNAcentral. Lineage: Bacteria; Pseudomonadati; Pseudomonadota; Gammaproteobacteria; Enterobacterales; Enterobacteriaceae.
GGGGCUAUAGCUCGCUGGGAGAGCGCCUGCUUGCACGCAGGAGGUCUGCGGUUCGAUCCCGCAUAGCUCCACCA